Molecule: transfer RNA, 74 nt
Filed under: Candidatus Shapirobacteria bacterium
Lineage: Bacteria; Candidatus Shapironibacteriota
Description: tRNA-Val
Rfam family: tRNA
About the family: Transfer RNA (tRNA) molecules are approximately 80 nucleotides in length. Their secondary structure includes four short double-helical elements and three loops (D, anti-codon, and T loops). Further hydrogen bonds mediate the characteristic L-shaped molecular structure. tRNAs have two regions of fundamental functional importance: the anti-codon, which is responsible for specific mRNA codon recognition, and the 3' end, to which the tRNAs corresponding amino acid is attached (by aminoacyl-tRNA synthetases). tRNAs cope with the degeneracy of the genetic code in two manners: having more than one tRNA (with a specific anti-codon) for a particular amino acid; and 'wobble' base-pairing, i.e. permitting non-standard base-pairing at the 3rd anti-codon position.
Source: RNAcentral
GGUUGUUUAGCUCAGUUGGUUAGAGCGCAUCAUUCACAUUGAUGAGGUCACAGGUUCGAGUCCUGUAACAACCA